AUUGAACGCUGGCGGCAUGCCUUACACAUGCAAGUCGAACGGCAGCACGGGAGCAAUCCUGGUGGCGAGUGGCGAACGGGUGAGUAAUGUAUCGGAACGUACCUUUCAGUGGGGGAUAACGUAGCGAAAGUUACGCUAAUACCGCAUAUUCUGUGAGCAGGAAAGCAGGGGAUCGCAAGACCUUGCGCUGAUUGAGCGGCCGAUAUCAGAUUAGCUAGUUGGUGAGGUAAAGGCUCACCAAGGCGACGAUCUGUAGCGGGUCUGAGAGGAUGAUCCGCCACACUGGAACUGAGACACGGUCCAGACUCCUACGGGAGGCAGCAGUGGGGAAUUUUGGACAAUGGGCGCAAGCCUGAUCCAGCCAUGCCGCGUGAGUG
Molecule: ribosomal RNA, 377 nt
Filed under: uncultured bacterium
Lineage: Bacteria
Description: bacterial SSU rRNA
Rfam family: Bacterial small subunit ribosomal RNA
Source: RNAcentral